Molecule: ribosomal RNA, 433 nt
Filed under: uncultured bacterium
Lineage: Bacteria
Description: partial 16S ribosomal RNA
Rfam family: Bacterial small subunit ribosomal RNA
Source: RNAcentral
AACGAACGCUGGCGGCAUGCCUAACACAUGCAAGUCGAACGAUACCUUCCCGUCUAGUGGCGAACGGGUGCGUAACGCGUGGGAACGUGCCUUAAGGUGCGGAAUAAUUCCCCGUAAGGGGUGCUAAUACCGGAUAAUGUCGUCGGACCAAAGAUUUUUCGCGUUUGGAUGGGCAGGCGUUGGAUUAGAUUGUUGGUACGGUGAAAGGCUACCAAGGCGACGAUCAAUAGGUGGUCAGAGAGGAUGGUCAGCAACACUGGCACUGGGACGCGGCCCAGACUCCUACAGGAGGCGGCAGUGAGGAAUAUUGCACAGUGGGCGAAAGCCUGAUGGAGCAAUGCCGGGUGAGUGAUGAAGUCCUUAGGGUAGUAGAGCUCUUUUACCCGGGAUGAUAAUGACAGUACCGGGAGAAUAAGCGCCGGCUAACUCCGUG